CGGGGUAUAGCGCAGCCUGGUAGCGCACCUGCUUUGGGAGCAGGCCGUCGGGGGUUCAAAUCCCUCUACCCCGA
Non-coding RNA from Gammaproteobacteria bacterium GWE2_37_16, 74 nucleotides. The record is from Rfam. NCBI's taxonomy places the organism in Bacteria, Pseudomonadati, Pseudomonadota, Gammaproteobacteria.